Molecule: long non-coding RNA, 1713 nt
Organism: Manis pentadactyla (Chinese pangolin)
Lineage: Eukaryota; Metazoa; Chordata; Mammalia; Pholidota; Manidae
Exons: 5
Source: RefSeq, a predicted model, not a curated record
UUGACACUUAUUUCUCACAAGAGCAUUGUAGUAUAGCUCAUUGUGCAAAAUUAUUUUUUAGGUAAGUGGUACCUCUCUACGUUGCUCCUUUUCAUCUUAAUGUGGUCAGGUAGUUGUAUAUUUUACUAUGAAUAUGUAGAUAUUUUUUGCAUAAUUAAAGGUUAAUCAAUACCAUAUUGGCAUACAUACACAAAAUCAUAGUUAACAAUCAUUACUGAGCUCAGAUACCAGUAUUAUGCCGAUGACCUAGUGGUAUUCAUGAAUAUAAUGUCACAUGACUCACAGAGUGUGAGUGUUGCAAGACAGACCUUGAACACCUCCAAGGUAAAAAAAUAGUUUCAGGAUGAAAUUUCCGUAGUUCCUUUCAAAGUGAAAAGAGAAAAAAAAAAACCUUUUCAUGUGGUUAUCCAUGUUUUCCUUAACUUAGAUAUUUUGGGAAAAAUAGAUUGCUUCCAUAAAGCCCAAAUUCUGCCUCUUCAAAUCUGCAAAAUACACAGAAUGCACUAGUCACUCCUGUGCUCAUGCCACAGUAGCUCAGGGCGAUUCGGUGACUCCUGUUUGAAAUGUUAUUUGCCGUUGUCUACGGGACCAAGGUUCCUUUGAAGCGAUUUUGAAACACUGUGGUGUAGUAUCAACAAGGUCUGGCAAUUCAAGCUGUCAUUUCUAUGAGAGAAUGGAAACUUCAUUCACUGCAUCUACUAUUUACAGGGACAUAUUCACAUGUGCACAUUACUGUUGCUAGGAAACUCAGAAAUGGAUUCUGCCUCCAGCCAGGAGUGUUGCAUAAAUAAAUGUCAUCAGAUUCCCCAGUUAUUACAGCCCACUGUUUUCUUUGUUGCUCAUCUUACUGCUGCUGAAUCAUACUUCAAAACCCAAGCCUGGUUAAAUUAGCUUAGGUUGUUGAGUGUCUGCAAGUAUCUAAAACGAAAAUUAAACACACUACAGCUAGUCAUCGUGAAUUCUUCCAUCUAUAAUUGAUUGGUUUGUGUACAUUCAUACAUCUUUCUUACGUUUAAGAAAGUACAGGCCAUCUCUUUUGCCAUAUCUGUAUCUCUAUCCACUGAUAUCCAUUGGAUAUUCUCUUAGACAUACAGCCCAGACACUAUAGGUUUUUCAAGAGUUUUUUUUCUUCCUUCUUUCAACAUCUUUUCGUAUGACUGUAAUGAUGGAACUGCUGAGUUUUGAACAAUUUGGGCAAUAAAACGAUGAGUUGGAUCUGACUUCUGCCAAGGAGGGAUUUGAGGCUGAAAAUGAACAUGAAGGAUAAUCAGAGAAAGAAGAAGAAAAUUGAAAUUCAAGGACCGUCAUAAAAAUAAGCUAUAUUCAAUAUUAAGCUAUGCCUAUUAUUGUUAUAAGACACAUCCCAUUGAGAUGAAUGUAUGACAAUUUGUGGCAAAGACCAUUGCCGGGUGAUCCACUGGACAUAUCAUUACUAGCAUCUUUUCUGAGAUUCUUCUUGUCAGAGAGCAGCAAUUAAAAUAAUUGAUUCUGCGAAAAGAUCCAGCAGUGUAAUGCUUAACAGUCCAUAUCAAAAAGGAGGACGUGGGUGUUACUGGACUUAGGCCCCAUGCUCAUCCAGUAUAAAUUGUUUCUGAACCGAUUCCAGUGCAGAGGAGGAAGUUGCUCAUACCUCCAGCGAGCAAUUCUCAGAUGCCAGCAGGGUGUCCAGGAAUUCAGCUCAAAUCUGACACUACCUACUUGGGGAUGGAAUCG